This 76-nucleotide transfer RNA is filed under the name Enterococcus gilvus. Its description in RNAcentral is "tRNA-His". It matches the Rfam family "tRNA". From Rfam's summary of the family: Transfer RNA (tRNA) molecules are approximately 80 nucleotides in length. Their secondary structure includes four short double-helical elements and three loops (D, anti-codon, and T loops). RNAcentral also lists the same sequence under 2 other names. Lineage: Bacteria; Bacillati; Bacillota; Bacilli; Lactobacillales; Enterococcaceae. The record is from RNAcentral.
GCGAGUGUGGCGAAGUGGUUAACGCAUCGGAUUGUGGUUCCGACACGCGUGGGUUCGAUUCCCAUCUCUCGCCCUA